RNAcentral lists this ribosomal RNA (467 nucleotides) under uncultured bacterium. RNAcentral's name for it is "partial 16S ribosomal RNA". It matches the Rfam family "Bacterial small subunit ribosomal RNA", at positions 28 to 507 of the family's 1533-position model. The record is from RNAcentral.
GACGAACGCUGGCGGCGUGCUUAACACAUGCAAGUCGAACGGAAAGGCUCCAGCUUGCUGGAGUGCUCGAGUGGCGAACGGGUGAGUAACACGUGGGUAAUCUGCCCUGCACUCUGGGAUAAGCCUGGGAAACUGGGUCUAAUACUGGAUAUGACCUUUCUCCUCAUGGGGGUGGGUGGAAAGUUUUUCGGUGUGGGAUGAGCCCGCGGCCUAUCAGCUUGUUGGUGGGGUGAUGGCCUACCAAGGGGACGACGGGUAGCCGGCCUGAGAGGGUGAUCGGCCACAUUGGGACUGAGAUACGGCCCAGACUCCUACGGGAGGCAGCAGUGGGGAAUAUUGCACAAUGGGCGGAAGCCUGAUGCAGCGACGCCGCGUGAGGGAUGACGGCCUUCGGGUUGUAAACCGCUUUCAGCAGGGACGAAGCGUAAGUGACGGUACCUGCAGAAGAAGCACCGGCUAACUACGUG